GUCGGCUCAUAUCUUCAUUAUACACAACACCGAAUAGAUCAAACUAAUACAAGUUCAUACAUAAAGUUCAUACAUAAAGUUCAUAUACAACACUUAAUUAAAUGCAACAUACAAAUAACUCUCUAGCUAAAGAAUUUAAAUGCAACGACAAAUGCGAUCAAGAUCGCAACUAAGGUAACAAUUGAUCCAACAGCAUAAUGAUACCAAGCCACAUUAUCAAUGGCAUAUCUUCUAAUCUUUCUAAUCUUCAACCUCAUUUUCUCCAUCUUGAUCUUGUGAUCAUCGACGAUAUCGGCAACAUGCAACUCCAAUUCCAUCUUCUCCCCCUCAAUUCUUUUCAAUUUUUCUUUCAAAUACUCGUUUUCUCUUUCAACUAAAUUUAACCUCUCGACAAUAGGGUCGGUUGGAAUUUCCGGUUCACAUACCUCCUAGAUAAAAAUAUCUAUGUCAACUUGAUGGGCAUAAUUUGUCAUAAACACGAAAUGCAACAACUAGUUUUAAAAGAGAAUAUACCACAUCCGAAUCAUAACAAGGACGAAGGCCGACGGGAACGGAUAUCAAAACCAUGGCACUAUGUAUAACAAACAACGUACGGAUAAGACAAUUAUACGAGUAACUAUAUAUCCAAAUCACACAAACAUCAGUUUGGUAAUGUAAAACAUUCAUGAACAAGAGCCUCGCCACAAGGUGGUGCCGGCGACGGGACGGUGCGGGCAAUCGACGGUGGUUACGACGGAGAUUUAGAAGGCACUAAGUAAACCACACCUACAUAUGCAAACUAAGUGUUAUUUUUGACCUCUAAUUGCAUGUAAAUCAAAUACUAGCAAAUAUAAUUCCUCCCAAAUUAAUCACUAUACAAAGCAUUGCAAGAGCUAAUCUAGCAAUAAGAGUUGAAAGGAAAAAGUUGCUAACCUUUGUGAUCAUUUGAAUGGAUGGGGGCCUUCAAAUCUUGACAAAUUUUGGGCAAAAUUUGUGAGGAGCUUGAGGAAGAGAGGGGAAGAACAGAGGAAGUGAGGGGGAAGGGGAAGAACAGAGUGGCUCGGAUGGACGGAGGGUUUAUGUACGCCGACCUUUAGUACCGGUUUGUGCCAUGAACCGGUACUAAAGGUGCUGGACGGGCCCCAGACUGACAACAUCCUGCCACCACUCUCUUUACUACCGGUUCGUGGCACGAACCGGUGCUAAAGGUUCGCCACGAACCGGUACAAAUGAGAGCGGCCGGCUAGCCGUUGGAACCGACACUAAUGGACACGUUAGUGCCGGCUCAAAAUCAAACCGGCACUAAUGUGUCUCAGAUUUGCCCCUUUUUCUACUAGUGACCAAACAAAGGUGAAGACAUGACAUAAAUAAACAACCUCCUAGCCUCCUAACUACAUAUAGCUGUAGAUGUUUUUCUCAUGGGUUAAUACAAAUGCGACGUUACUUAUCUAACAUUUAUUAUUUCCUUCUGCCCUAAUUGAAGUAUUACUAGUGACUAAUUCUAAGGUACAACAGAAAACAUGCAUAAAGCAUAACCAUGUUGUAGAUCAGCAAUCAUGCUUACAUGGCAACAAUAAGAGCCAGUGAUAAGCUCCCCAUGUUUACAUAGGAUUUAUGGUGUAAUAUUCAGAUGGUCCAGACAAGUGUUAAAACAGGAUACCAAACCAACAAUUUCCAACAUGUGCAUUCAUUUUCCCAAUGACAUAAUAUAUGCCAUUGUCUCGAUGACAUUUUAUAUGUCGGUGUCUUUCUUGUGUCCCCAAAUUAAAAUCAAGGUUUAAUUUUAUAAUAUUUUGUUAAACUUCACGCACCAGCAGAAGUAUUACUAUAUGGCUAACAAAAUAGUUGCACAUCACAGUUAACCAAACAAAGAUGAGGAAGUACAGGAAGUUGUACCAGCUAGAGUAUAGAAGCAGCCGUAAAGAAGUAACACAACGCAAGUGCUGCAUACCCAGAAAAUUUACCACUAGCUUGCAAUCGGUUUAGUACUGGAGAGGCAGUCCCAUAAGAGGGGCGACUAAGUCUUGGAGCCGAAGCACACUUACACACGUCAUGAUCACAUCCCUUUCCUUUUGAGGCAUGUCACUAUGCAUACCUAAUACCGUUAAGUUGUUGGCGCACAUUCUUUGGGUAAGAUAACCCCCCUGAUCAAGAGGAAAUUAUAAUUUUAGCAUGUGGUGAACGAUUAAUUAUGUCAACUUGACCAUGGUUAAACACUUAACAAAGCUGGACAGCCUUUAGAACAAAAAAGCUGCACAAGAAUGAUUUACACUUCAGUCAACAAAUGGUUUUCUUAACUAAAGCAUAACAGACUAAUUAAAAGAGAGUUUUGAUAUAGAUUUUCACAGGGAAGUAAGAUGCAUCUUUUAAGGAAAUAAUAAUGAUUUUCACAGAGAACUAAAUGCAUUGAUAGAUAGUGCAUCAGCAUUAGAGUUAGACCAGAUCCAUAGCAGAGUAACUGAAAAUUUCUAGAUCCAUAGCAUUUUUAGAGAAAUAAAGCAUCACAUAACAGACUAGAGCUUGUCAGACCAAACUAAUGGAUACAACCAACUAGGCAGGCGUAUGAGAAUGGCAGAAGAUAUUUUCUUUUGGGACGCAACAUAGCACAAAUUAUUCCAGAGAGGAUAAGGACGCAACAUACGACAUACAACAGAAACAGAGGUACAUGCCAAUAUGCGAACUUAUGUGGUAGCCAAGGGUGAGCGUUGCUGUUGGUGACGAGCAGACGAACUUUGCAGAAAUCUGUAAUGAGACAUCGCGCCAUUGGUGGCGGCAUGGGCGCGUGGCUGAGCUUGUUGGAGACGAGAUCUUUCCGUGAGAGGAGGAAGAGGAGGGUGCCGGCGGACGGGGCUGUCGGCGGACGCGGCACUGGGGAAGCCAUGCAUCGGAUAGGGUUAGGGGGUCUGGGAUAUGCUCACCGCUGUCGGUGGGGACUCCGGCCAACGAAGAUGCCCAUGUGGUGGCAACGGAGGGGCCGGGUAAGGCAGGCGAUGGAGGGGGCCGGGAGCUCGGGGCUAUGGCCGCCGCCGGCGGCAGGGUCGGGUCCGAGGACGGCGGCGGCCGAAAUUGGGGGCAGGGGCAGGGGCGGGGGUGGAUAGGGUUAAUGUGAGGCUACGGUUUCCUUGGGGGUAUUCGGCCAAGGUGAGGUGAAAACUGGGCCUCCCAUAGCGAAAUUUUUG
RNAcentral lists this ribosomal RNA (3158 nucleotides) under Triticum aestivum (bread wheat). RNAcentral's name for it is "partial small subunit ribosomal RNA". The record is from RNAcentral. Lineage: Eukaryota; Viridiplantae; Streptophyta; Magnoliopsida; Poales; Poaceae.